AGUGAACGCUGGCGGUAGGCCUAACACAUGCAAGUCGAACGGCAGCACAGUAAGAGCUUGCUCUUACGGGUGGCGAGUGGCGGACGGGUGAGGAAUACAUCGGAAUCUACUUUUUCGUGGGGGAUAACGUAGGGAAACUUACGCUAAUACCGCAUACGACCUACGGGUGAAAGCAGGGGAUCUUCGGACCUUGCGCGAUUGAAUGAGCCGAUGUCGGAUUAGCUAGUUGGCGGGGUAAAGGCCCACCAAGGCGACGAUCCGUAGCUGGUCUGAGAGGAUGAUCAGCCACACUGGAACUGAGACACGGUCCAGACUCCUACGGGAGGCAGCAGUGGGGAAUAUUGGACAAUGGGCGCAAGCCUGAUCCAGCCACACCGCGUGGGUGAAGAAGGCCUUCGGGUUGUAAAGCCCUUUUGUUGGGAAAGAAAAGCAGCAGGUUAAUACCCCGCUGUUCUGACGGUACCCAAGGAAUAAGCACCGGCUAACUUCGU
RNAcentral lists this ribosomal RNA (491 nucleotides) under uncultured bacterium. RNAcentral's name for it is "partial 16S ribosomal RNA". It matches the Rfam family "Bacterial small subunit ribosomal RNA", at positions 29 to 506 of the family's 1533-position model. The record is from RNAcentral.